GGGCCCCAAGGGCGGGCGGCCGGGAGCUCGGUGCGGUGCCCGGCUCCCCUCGCAAGUUAAUGCCGAGGCUGAAAUCCCGUUUGCUAUCACUUUCAAUCACAAUCGGAGCUUUUAUCUCCGUGCCUGAUCCGGGCUGCGUAACUUCCUCUGUGCAGCUUUAGCACACACCAUCCCACCGGCGAGCAAUGUGCUUCUUAAAGGUGCAGGGAGGAAAUGCGGGCGGGGAGGGGAGGGAGGAGGGAGAAAAGCACCCGGGGAAGGCGAGGCUGCGAGCGGGGGGGGCCCGGAGGGGCUGCGGGAUCCGCGCGGUGCGGGGCUGGAGAGCGGCGGGCGGGGAACGGAGAACCGAGAGACGAUGGAAGCGGCUGUGCCGCUCCUUCUCCUUCUUUUCCCCCCACCUUUUCCUUUUUUCUUUUUCCUCCCCCCCUUUUCCCCUUUCUUUUCUCCCCUUUCCCUUUCUUCUCUCCCCCGUUUUCCUGUCUUCCCCUCCUUUUCCUUCCUUACCCCGUUCCUUUCUUUCCUCCCCUUCCCCCCCACCCCCUUUCCUUUUCUUUUUAAGAAAUAAUAAUCACGAGAUCAUGUUUUCUCAAGGAAUAAGCUGUAGUCACGAGGGUUUCCCCACACGUGUGAGCUAUCCGUGCUGUGUCCCGAAUAUUUUGGGGAGGUUCUGCUGGCGGAGAUGCUGUAAGCGAGGCUGCGUGUGCUGGGGAAGAGGGGGUGGUUGGAAUUAAUAGGAUAAACAAAGCAGGGACUCGGGGAUGGCGAAAUCAGAUGGUUGGGAAAUGCUUUGGUAAUGGUGGAGAUGCACUCUGGGAUUUAAGCAAGCUGAGUUUCCUUUGGUAAACGUGCAGGUCUGUGAGGUUUGGCAGUUCCUCCCAACACAGGGCACGGCUGCUGUGGGUGCUGCUCAGGAGAAUCAGUGGCAGGUGGAGAUCUCGGUCCACCCGUGCCAGAUUCUGUUGUGUGAACCCCAUUCUACAGCAGGCAGGUGCUGCAGGGGGGUCAUUCUUGCAGGUUUUUGGCAUGCAGAUGGAUAAAUGGCAAUCUAUUUCUGGGGAGGAAAACCAAAGAACCCCGCUGUCCCCUAUGCACAUCACCACCAAAAAAUGAAGGUUCUUUCCCAACCAAUAAUUCAACGAUUUCUAAGCCAGAAAGUGCACUGUCCAACUUGCAUGUGGUUUGCAAUCUCACUGACUCAGUGUUUUGUUACGUGAUUUACUUUGCCCCCCUGCUCUGAGGUCCUUCUAUGGCUUUUCCUGUUGAAGAGUCCAUGGAAAACACACAGACCACCCUGGGAAAUGUUUCCCAAAUCCUGGAGCAGAAGCAAGAGGUAGGGAAUGAUGGAGCACGCCCUGACUGUGGCUCAGCCUCAGUGCUGAAGUAUGGGACAGCCUUUGCCUGAAGGACUGCGAUUCUGGGUCCAUCUCCACUCCAGCCAUGACACAGACACUUUCCACAUGUUAUUUAUUAUUUUUCCCUGUAAGCACUGUAUGGCAGUGAGAAACAUUAGCUGGGAAUUCAGGGCAGGUGGGUAUUCCCGGAUUUCACUUUGUGCCUUUAGGUCUUCUGUGUAGUAAUGACUCCCCUGGAAAUUCCCCACGUCUCACUUAUUACUCCUUUAUUAGUUAUUAUGGUACAGUAACAGGAUAAAAAGGAGUUGGUAUUUCAUUUUCAUUCCCUCUAAUAGCCAUGGCAAAGACCAAGUGGUGUGCUGAUUAUUGACAUCAGAGUUAAGUGAUAUGCACGCAUCAUUAGGUUUCAAUUGGAAAGAAUAACAGCACAGUAUGAGUCGUCACACUUCUAAACUACUUCGCAUUUAAAGCAAAACUGAAGUCGUUUUUCUCAUCCCUGUGAGCUCAGAAGAUGAGGGCUGGCAAUAAUACUCACACCUAUGCAGGUGAGGGCUCCAGACGCAUCCCGAGGGGGAACGAUGACCCAAAUGCCCUGCAGAGGUGGGAGCAGCUGCCCCAGGGGCUCCAUGUGCUGCACGGUGGGUCACCUAUCAGUGCCGUUCUUGCAGGAAGGAAUGGGGAACAGUUUCAGCAAAUGUUUGAGACCAUUUACCUUCUUUUGCCCAAGGAUUUGGCAAAUAUUUCCUGCUCAGCGUUGUUUCCUUCUUGGGCGAUUUUCCUAUGGGGAGCAAUGUGGCUGUGCUGCUCCUGGAGGGCCGGCUCUGCCCCUCCCUCAUGCUGAGCACUGCCUUCUCACACAAGGUUGAAAAUCAAUGGGUCUGUGCCGAGAUUUAAUUACCACGGCAUAGGCAAGGGUGGAGAACAAGGCCCUUAAUUUUUAAUACGGCUUCAGCUCCCAAAGGGAUCCCCGGGGCUCAAGGGCCAAAUGCAAACCCAUUACACGCAGUUGUAAUUCUAUUGACAUAUGCAGCCUGGCACCUGUUUGUACGAAGGCAAUAUUUGGCUCCCGGCAUCGAAAUGGCAAGCGGUGAUUUUGACACGCGUGGGGGAAGAGGGAAGUGCUUCCCCAGCUUGGGAUGACUGAGGAUGAACUGAAACAACAGAAGGCAAACGUGACACCUCGCAGCGCUGCUCCUCGGCGGCGACGUGCUUACGAACACUCGGGCUGAGUCGGGUCCAUGGAGAGAGCGGUGAGAUUAGUGCCAGAAUAAUAACCAGCCUCACAAAGGAUCUUUCACUCGAGGAUACAUAUUGCUGUAUCACCUAUAAUAGCGAUACGUUCUUUUUAUAGUCCUUAUCUAGCGAUGCGCGGCCAAGGAUGUCAAAGCGCCUGCCGAAAGUGAGUAAGCAUUUUAUUAGGUGGGAGCACAAGGCUUGUAAAUGUGCUCCAGCCCAGGAGCAGGAGAGGGACCCCUGAGCAAGAGAAGCUCUCACAGUGUCUGCAGAGCCCAAUGCCUGACCUGUUGUUCCACCCGUGCCAGGACCUCUGGGGAGAAGCGUGUAGGGCGGGGGGAGGAGAAAAUGAAUAACAGUGCCUCUGAAGGGGGGGGAAUAGGGGUGAUGGAGGGGACGGCUGCUGUGCCAUGGGGUUGAACCGGGUCCCGCUGGGAGGUCUGUCUCAGCUCACCCUCCCUAUCCCAUCCCUUGUGCUGUCCUUUUGUUCUCGGUGAGGUGGAUGUGAAGAGAUCUCCCAGAGUGAUGGGAAUGGGAGGGUUUGUGCUUCCCACUGCCUUGUGCUUUGUGCAAAGGUAAGAUAGCCAUGCUGGAAAAAGAAGAGGGCCAUCGUAUUUUGUAGUUCUGAGAAACACCAGAAAACCCACACAGGGGCCAAGAAACCGAGCAACAGAGAGCUGUGAUGUGCAGUGCAGGAAGGUGGGGGGGGUUAUUCUCUUGUUCUUCCUGCACCGAUGUCGGUGUGCGCACACCAGGGCCCGCUCCUCAGCACAUGCAGACACUGCCAUCAGCAGAAGGAACAGCCCGGUGCCUCCGUCCCUGGAGUGCUCUAAAUCUUCUCCUUAGAGCAACUGGCUGGGAAGAUGGCAGAGAGCAUCUGCUCCAGGAGGGGAGGCCGCUCCCCGCCUUGCGCACGAGACCUCAGAUGCAAUCUCUGCAUUUUGCAGGCCCUGGCAGGUGAUGUGUUCAGCUGCACAAAAACAGCAGAUUUCUGCACAUGCUUCCCUCCCAGGCACGCAUGUGCUGAUUGCCAAAUAAUUGACCCAGUUAUGCUAAUAUGCUGUUUGCCUCGCUGGAACUUAAUAAAUACAUAUAUAAUCAAUCUUAACACUUUUUCUUGAGCCACGCACCGCUUCGAUCAGCUGCUGCUUCAGUAGUUUUGCUGGCUCCAACCCAAGGAGCAGAGCCAUACCUGUGCUGGAAGGAAGAGGGGGCAGUCCCCUGGGUAGGUGCAAAUGAGGCCACACCAAGGAGCUCUGAGAGCUGAUCUUGCAGGAAUAACUGGGAGCAAAACUGGCUUUGCAGAUCCCAAACACAGCCUGUAUGUUGUGGACGUGGUCGGUGGAGCUGACGUAUGUAAGUGCGGUGACUUUCCCUACCCAGCCACCAUCCCAGCCUUGUGCAGAUGGAAACUCAGCGAGUUUCUUGUCAUCAAGCCCCCGGUUUCAGUCUGACAAUGGGAACAGCAUCAUCUGUGUCAUGUAUGUUGGAAGCAAUGAAUAGAGAGCUGAGCUCACUCAUCUAUUUGCAUUCUGAAAAUAUGCAAAAAAAAAAAAACCUGUCUCCUUGCUUACUCUCCUGCCCACUCAAUAUCUGUGAAACAAGGAGGAGAAUAUGGGCUGCCUUGUACUUCUGAUCUCAGUGCCCUUGAAUAAAGGAGCAAUUCCUCAGCGCAGCCUUCUGGGAUGAGCGUGAACAUCAGAGCCACGAUGGCAGCAAAAGCUCUCCAUCAAUGCAGGCUGGUGGGCAAAAGGCAGCUCCUGGGUGAGGAGUGCUCAUCAUCAUGGACACCUUGGCUUGAUGUCACCAGGGCACCUUCUCCCCUCCACAUCCGAAUCAGCACUUGCCUCUCUAGGGCACGUAGGUCUGACCUGCCAACUGUUAAACGAAUUACAGCGCGCUCCCCCCGAUCUAUUAGCAUGGAACUGCACACGUCCAUGGGAGAGACAGGCGGAGGACACAGCAGUUCUGAGAGCAACGGGCUGUAGGAGGCUUUCCUUUUGGAUGGAGUUGAAUGAAUCGGCACUGGGCUGCGACUCCACGCUCAGCGUUUGCCUCAUCACUCAGCAGCCCAUGGAUUCUCUUGCUUUUAAUUUGAACAGCUACUUCUCCUCCAGGUUAUGGCUGUCUGAGGCAGCAGAAGCAUCCUCCAGACCGGGCUUUAAGGGCUGGAAUUUACAUGCUUUUUUCUUAUGCUUUCUGGUAUUAAUUUCAUAUGCAGUGGGAAAGUAAUAUCCUGUCUGUCACUGCAGAGGAAGGGCUGUGCGUGCGUCUAUGCACAGUCACUGCUAACUGUUGAGCUCUUUCACUCCAAGUUCGUUUUUGUGAAGAUUUCUAAAUUAAAGCCAAAAUCAGCUGCAGAAAUGAUGAAUGUGUGCUACCAGCAAGGCAAAAUCGGGAGAUGUUUGCUCUUGUUUUCGUAACUCGUGGUCUUUGUGUGUAAGAGUGGAUUGCAUGGCAACUGCAUUCACACUUCUCUUUAAUAAAAGAUCCUAGCAGAUGGACCCACUA
Long non-coding RNA from Gallus gallus (chicken), 5096 nucleotides. RefSeq lists it as uncharacterized. The transcript has 2 exons. Lineage: Eukaryota; Metazoa; Chordata; Aves; Galliformes; Phasianidae. The record is from RefSeq and is a predicted model, not a curated record.